GCGAUCAUACCAGCACUAAUGCACCGGAUCUGAACUCCGAAGUUAAGCGUGCUUGGGCGAGAGCAGUACUAGGAUGGGUGACCCCCUGGGAAGUCCUCGUGUUGCACCU
Molecule: ribosomal RNA, 109 nt
Filed under: Zingiber officinale
Lineage: Eukaryota; Viridiplantae; Streptophyta; Magnoliopsida; Zingiberales; Zingiberaceae
Source: RNAcentral